UACGUAGGGGGCAAGCGUUGUCCGGAAUCAUUGGGCGUAAAGAGCGUGUAGGCGGCUCGAUAAGUCUGCUGUGAAAGUCCAGGGCUCAACCCUGGAAGGCCGGUGGAAACUGUCGGGCUAGAGUCCGGAAGAGGCGAGUGGAAUUCCCGGUGUAGCGGUGAAAUGCGCAGAUAUCGGGAGGAACACCAAUGGCGAAGGCAGCUCGCUGGACGGUACUGACGCUGAGACGCGAAAGCGUGGGAU
This 243-nucleotide ribosomal RNA is filed under the name uncultured bacterium. RNAcentral's name for it is "partial 16S ribosomal RNA". It matches the Rfam family "Bacterial small subunit ribosomal RNA", at positions 524 to 767 of the family's 1533-position model. The record is from RNAcentral.